RNAcentral lists this ribosomal RNA (501 nucleotides) under uncultured Verrucomicrobiota bacterium. RNAcentral's name for it is "bacterial SSU rRNA". It matches the Rfam family "Bacterial small subunit ribosomal RNA", at positions 383 to 896 of the family's 1533-position model. The record is from RNAcentral. Lineage: Bacteria; Pseudomonadati; Verrucomicrobiota.
CGGAUGGAGCGACGCCGCGUGGAGGACGAAGGCCUUCGGGUCGUAAACUCCUGUCAUGCGGGAACAAGAAAGUGAUAGUACCGCAAGAGGAAGGGACGGCUAACUCUGUGCCAGCAGCCGCGGUAAUACAGAGGUCCCGAGCGUUGUUCGGAUUCAUUGGGCGUAAAGGGUGCGUAGGUGGCGAUGUAAGUCUGGUGUGAAAUCUCAGGGCUCAACCUUGAAAUUGCAUUGGAUACUGCGUUGCUUGAGGAUUGUAGAGGAGAGUGGAAUUCACGGUGUAGCAGUGAAAUGCGUAGAUAUCGUGAGGAAGACCAGUUGCGAAGGCGACUCUCUGGGCAAUUCCUGACACUGAGGCACGAAGGCCAGGGGAGCAAACGGGAUUAGAUACCCCGGUAGUCCUGGCAGUAAACGGUGCACGUUUGGUGUGGGCGGGUUCAGACCCCGUCCGUGCCAGAGCUAACGCGUUAAACGUGCCGCCUGGGAAGUACGGUCGCAAGAUUA